CCCUUAGAUGUUCUGGGCUGCACACGCGCUACACUGAGUGGAUCAGCGGGUCAGGUUGCGCGAAAGUGUUUCCUAAUCUUGAAAUCCGCUCGUGAUGGGGAUUGACGGUUGCAAUUUUCCGUCAUGAACGAGGAAUACCUUGUAAGCGCGGGUCAUCAUCCCGCGCUGAAUACGUCCCUGCCCUUUGUACACACCGCCCGUCGCUCCUACCGAUUGAGUGGUCCGGUGAGGCUUUGGGAUCUGAGCGGAAAGAGCGUUUCGCUGUUUCUGCUCGGAAAACUCAGUCGAACCUCAUCAUUUAGAGGAAGGAGAAGUCGUAACA
RNAcentral lists this ribosomal RNA (322 nucleotides) under uncultured eukaryote. Its description in RNAcentral is "partial 18S ribosomal RNA". It matches the Rfam family "Eukaryotic small subunit ribosomal RNA", at positions 1470 to 1796 of the family's 1831-position model. The record is from RNAcentral.